Molecule: ribosomal RNA, 253 nt
Filed under: uncultured bacterium
Lineage: Bacteria
Description: partial 16S ribosomal RNA
Rfam family: Bacterial small subunit ribosomal RNA
Source: RNAcentral
UACGUAGGCAGCAAGCGUUGUUCGGAUUUACUGGGCGUAAAGGGUGUGUAGGCGGUUGCUUAAGUUUGGUGUGAAAUCUCCCGGCUCAACUGGGAGGGUGCGCCGAAUACUGAGUGACUAGAGUGCGGGAGAGGAAAGUGGAAUUCCUGGUGUAGCGGUGAAAUGCGUAGAUAUCAGGAGGAACACCGGUGGUGUAGACGGCUUUCUGGACCGUAACUGACGCUGAGACACGAAAGCGUGGGUAGCAAACAGG